This 995-nucleotide ribosomal RNA is filed under the name uncultured bacterium. RNAcentral's name for it is "bacterial SSU rRNA". It matches the Rfam family "Bacterial small subunit ribosomal RNA", at positions 356 to 1376 of the family's 1533-position model. The record is from RNAcentral.
GGGGAAUAUUGCACAAUGGGGGAAACCCUGAUGCAGCGACGCCGCGUGGAGGAAGAAGGUCUUCGGAUUGUAAACUCCUGUUGUUGGGGAAGAUAAUGACGGUACCCAACAAGGAAGUGACGGCUAACUACGUGCCAGCAGCCGCGGUAAAACGUAGGUCACAAGCGUUGUCCGGAAUUACUGGGUGUAAAGGGAGCGCAGGCGGGAAGACAAGUUGGAAGUGAAAUCCAUGGGCUCAACCCAUGAACUGCUUUCAAAACUGUUUUUCUUGAGUAGUGCAGAGGUAGGCGGAAUUCCCGGUGUAGCGGUGGAAUGCGUAGAUAUCGGGAGGAACACCAGUGGCGAAGGCGGCCUACUGGGCACCAACUGACGCUGAGGCUCGAAAGUGUGGGUAGCAAACAGGAUUAGAUACCCUGGUAGUCCACACCGUAAACGAUGAUUACUAGGUGUUGGAGGAUUGACCCCUUCAGUGCCGCAGUUAACACAAUAAGUAAUCCACCUGGGGAGUACGACCGCAAGGUUGAAACUCAAAGGAAUUGACGGGGGCCCGCACAAGCAGUGGAGUAUGUGGUUUAAUUCGACGCAACGCGAAGAACCUUACCAAGUCUUGACAUCCGUUGACCGCUGUAGAAAUACAGUUUUCCUUCGGGACAGCGAGACAGGUGGUGCAUGGUUGUCGUCAGCUCGUGUCGUGAGAUGUUGGGUUAAGUCCCGCAACGAGCGCAACCCUUAUGGUCAGUUACUACGCAAGAGGACUCUGGCCAGACUGCCGUUGACAAAACGGAGGAAGGUGGGGAUGACGUCAAAUCAUCAUGCCCUCUAUGACUUGGGCUACACACGUACUACAAUGGCGUUAAACAAAGAGAAGCAAGACCGCGAGGUGGAGCAAAACUCAGAAACAACGUCCCAGUUCGGACUGCAGGCUGCAACUCGCCUGCACGAAGUCGGAAUUGCUAGUAAUCGUGGAUCAGCAUGCCACGGUGAAUACGUUCCCG